GAGUUCAGAAGUGUGCUCUUUCGAUAGUAAGAUAUCAUUCUAAAUCUACAAAGACUAAGUGACCGACGUUCAACAUCGUUCGAUUUAUCAACUCUUCCGAACUUGAGGUGAGGCCCUGGUCCAGAAUUCUACUGACGCAGACCGACACGAUCCGACGGCUCUCAAUCUCGUCGACCGAUUCACCUAAAGCUGAGUCAAUCCGAGUGUUAAUCUUCGAAAUUGAACGAAUUCUUGUUUUACCUUUUUAAUCGAAAUUUACUUCA
This 263-nucleotide long non-coding RNA is filed under the name Neodiprion lecontei (redheaded pine sawfly). RNAcentral describes it as "uncharacterized LOC124295013". Lineage: Eukaryota; Metazoa; Arthropoda; Insecta; Hymenoptera; Diprionidae. The record is from RNAcentral.